AACGAACGCUGGCGGCAGGCCUAACACAUGCAAGUCGAGCGAGGACUUCGGUCCUAGCGGCGGACGGGUGAGUAACGCGUGGGAACGUGCCCUUUGGUACGGAAUAGCCCCGGGAAACUGGGAGUAAUACCGUAUGGUGUCUUCGGACUAAAGAUUUAUCGCCAAAGGAUCGGCCCGCGUUGGAUUAGGUAGUUGGUGGGGUAAUGGCCUACCAAGCCGACGAUCCAUAGCUGGUCUGAGAGGAUGAUCAGCCACACUGGCACUGAGAUACGGGCCAGACUCCUACGGGAGGCAGCAGUGAGGAAUAUUGCGCAAUGGGCGAAAGCCUGACGCAGCGACGCCGCGUGGGGGAUGAAGGUUUUCGGAUUGUAAACCCCUUUCAUGAGGAAAGAUAAAGUGGGUAACCACUUAGACGGUACCUCAAGAAGAAGCCACGGCUAACUUCGUGCCAGCAGCCGCGGUAAAGUCGUACG
RNAcentral lists this ribosomal RNA (473 nucleotides) under uncultured bacterium. RNAcentral's name for it is "bacterial SSU rRNA". It matches the Rfam family "Bacterial small subunit ribosomal RNA", at positions 29 to 531 of the family's 1533-position model. The record is from RNAcentral.